CUGGCUGUGGAGCCUUUGGUUGGGGGUUCGGUCCCCCACUGUGCCUGCACUGGACAAUAUGUCGGGUCCCUUCCAGUUCCCCGGUUCCAAGAUAUACAGGAAUCAUCACUUUGUCCCAGGAAAUGGGAUAACGUUCCAGGCCAUCCUGCUUGUUGUUUCUCUGUUAGGAAUCUUGCUUGUUAAUAGUGUUGACUCUGGCACCCCCUGCUGCCGUCCCGGCGCUUAAUAUGGAUGCCAAGGAUGGGCUUGUUUGUUUUCUGUAGAGGCAUCCAUCUUUCUCCCGGUUACCUCAGGCACAGAAUGUGGCAGGAUCUCCUCUCACCGGCCCAAAGGCUCAAAUUUUGGCCCCAACCCAGUUCCUGCCUCCAAAUGCAUUUCCUUCUUCGGGUGAAGCUCUGAGUGUCGGUGCCGGAACCGCAGGGUCCUUGGCUGUGCAGGCAGGAAUCUCACAGGGCCAGUUUCCUGGUGCAGCUGUUCCUCCCCUCAGACCACACUACGGCCGGCUCUCCGACCCUGCGCUUCCCGCCGCCGUUCCUUCGGCCAGCGUGCUCAUUCCUUGGCCCCAGGCUCCUCUGUGGUUUGCCACUCCGCAGGCAGCGGUCGCUGCUGGUCAGACAGGACCGAAAUCCUUCGUUGGCAUGAUACCCAUCCCAGCAGCCGGCCUGGAUCCGGUUGUGGCAUGGACGCCAAGCGUGCUUUCCUUGAGGCAACCAAGAGAGAGAAACAAGGGCGUAAAUAGCAGCACAGCUCAUGACCCCAGGGCGGUCUCCGCCUGCGCCAAUCCCGGGACUGUUUUGGCUCCUGUCAGCUCUGGACCCUUAGCCCAGGCCGGUGCAAAUCAAAUGCAUGUGGUGGCAGGAGGAAGAAGAGACCAAGAAACGAGUGUGAUCUCAGAGCCGCCUUUCCCAACUUCACUGGGGACUGCAAACCUAUUAAUGAAAGAUGGCACCAGUUACAGCAUUCCAGGAAACCCCACUGGCAGUGUAUCAGGCUCCGGAUUUCCUUCAGAUCCUGGAGUGAGAAGAACCUGGCGCGAGGAAAUUACACUGGAGGAGCGCCACCACUUAGUACAGAAGUUGUAAGUAUAGUUCAAGGAUGCGGACCCUGCCCAUUGGGAUCAGGUGUGUCUGUGGCAUGCAUCACAGUGUGUGGGCUCUUGAGUUUUGAAGGUUGGGGCUUCGAGCAUACAGUACGAUCCUUUAUUCUCCGGAUCAAUAUCCACUGAUUCCCUUAUCCACGGUCUGAAAAUAUUAAAAAUAUUGAAAGAUCCCCAAAAAAGUAAGUAUAGUUCAAGGAUGCGGACCCUGCCCAUUGGGAUCAGGUGUGUCUGUGGCAUGCAUCACAGUGUGUGGGCUCUUGAGUUUUGAAGGUUGGGGCUUCGAGCAUACAGUACGAUCCUUUAUUCUCCGGAUCAAUAUCCACUGAUUCCCUUAUCCACGGUCUGAAAAUAUUAAAAAUAUUGAAAGAUCCCCAAAAUACUGUAUAUAUAUUUAAUGAUGAAGUUCCCAGAACUGGCCAGAAGAGGGAGCCAAAGGCCAUGCUGUGUAUACAGUAGUUUUCUAUUAAAAUAGUGUUUGCUAUAAUCCACAUUUUUCAGCAUCCACGGGGCGGGGGACUAGAAACCAAUCCCCUGAGGAUACUGGGUCAUACUAUAUUAUGAAAGGCUGAAGGGAGAUGAAGUGUGCGGUCAAGGAUUCUGAUGCUUGAGCCAUACAGGACUUUAUAGACCUCCUCUGAAAAAAAAUCAGAAGCCUGCAUUCAUCACAGUUGGCAUUUCUCAGAGUUCAGGGUUAAUCACAGAACAAAAUCAAACAAUCUCAGACAAUCCUAUCAACAUUCAUCUGAGUAUCAAAGUAUAAGUCAUCUUAUUGUUCAGUAAUUACAGGCAAUAAAGGGAGAUGAAGUGGUACA
This is a long non-coding RNA of Pogona vitticeps (central bearded dragon), 1911 nucleotides long. NCBI's taxonomy places the organism in Eukaryota, Metazoa, Chordata, Lepidosauria, Squamata, Agamidae. The record is from Ensembl.